This 590-nucleotide ribosomal RNA is filed under the name uncultured fungus. RNAcentral describes it as "eukaryotic LSU rRNA". The stretch from base 234 to 387 matches the Rfam family "5.8S ribosomal RNA". Lineage: Eukaryota; Fungi. The record is from RNAcentral.
AAGUCGUAACAAGGUCUCCGUUGGUGAACCAGCGGAGGGAUCAUUACAGAGUUAAACAAACUCCAAACCCUUUGUGAACCUUACCAUAAGUUGCCUCGGCGUGCGCUGCGGCUACCCGGUUUCCGGCCCCGCAGACGGGUGGUUACCCUGUAGCCGGUCAACAGCCCGCCGAAGGACCCCUAAACUCUGUUUAAAAUGGUGUAUUCUGAAUUGCUUAAACUAAAAUAAGUUAAAACUUCCAACAACGGAUCUCUUGGUUCUGGCAUCGAUGAAGAACGCAGCGAAAUGCGAUAAGUAAUGUGAAUUGCAGAAUUCAGUGAAUCAUCGAAUCUUUGAACGCACAUUGCGCCCAUUAGUACUCUAGUGGGCAUGCCUAUUCGAGCGUCAUUUCGACCAUUAAGCCCUGUAGCUUAGCGUUGGGAGCCUACGCCCUUGCGGCGUAGCUCCUCAAAGUCAGUGGCGGAGUUGGAGCACACUCUAAGCGUAGUAAACUUAUCUCGCUUCUGUAGUUGCCCCGGCUGCCUGCCGUAAAACCCCCUAUAUUUCUAGUGGUUGACCUCGGAUUAGGUAGGAAUACCCGCUGAACUUAA